CUGCUAUCGGGGUUCGAUUAAGCCAUGCGAGUCGAGAGGGUUCGGCACUCGGCGGACUGCUCAGUAACACGUGGAUAACCUGCCCUGAGGUGGGGCAUAACCCCGGGAAACUGGGGAUAAUACCCCAUAGGAUACCGUGACUGGAAUGUCCGGUAUCCGAAAGCCCCGGCGCCUCAGGAUGGAUCUGCGGCCGAUUAGGUAGUUGUUGGGGUAACGGCCCAACAAGCCUGUAAUCGGUACGGGUUGUGGGAGCAAGAGCCCGGAGAUGGACUCUGAGACACGAGUCCAGGCCCUACGGGGCGCAGCAGGCGCGAAAACUUUACAAUGCAGGCAACUGUGAUAAGGGAACCCCGAGUGCCCGUAUACGCGGGCUGUUCGGAUGUCCAAAAAGCAUCCGGAGAAAGGGCCGGGCAAGACCGGUGCCAGCCGCCGCGGUAAUACCGGCGGCUCGAGUGGUGGCCGCUUUUAUUGGGCUUAAAGCGUCCGUAGCUGGAUUGUUAAGUCCCUUGGGGAAAUCCGCCNGCUUCAACCGGCGGGGCGUCUAAGAGAUACUGGCAAUUCUAGGGACCGGAAGAGGUGAGAGGUACUCCAGGGUAGGAGUGAAUCCUGUAAUCCCUGGGGGAACCNCUUGUGGCGAAGGCGUCUCACCAGGACGGCUCCCACAGUGAGGGAACAAAGCCUGGGGGAACNAACCGGAUUAAANCCCCGGGU
This 711-nucleotide ribosomal RNA is filed under the name euryarchaeote enrichment culture clone T-RF259. RNAcentral's name for it is "bacterial SSU rRNA". It matches the Rfam family "Archaeal small subunit ribosomal RNA", at positions 27 to 742 of the family's 1478-position model. The record is from RNAcentral. Lineage: Archaea; Methanobacteriati; Methanobacteriota.